CUCGGUAGAAGAUCUUCCCUUU
This 22-nucleotide microRNA is filed under the name Bombyx mori (domestic silkworm). RNAcentral describes it as "bmo-miR-2774b". Lineage: Eukaryota; Metazoa; Arthropoda; Insecta; Lepidoptera; Bombycidae. The record is from miRBase by way of RNAcentral.